CUUAAUUUGACUCAACACGGGGAAACCUCACCAGGCCCGGACACCGGAAGGAUUGACAGAUUGAGAGCUCUUUCUUGAUUCGGUGGGUGGUGGUGCAUGGCCGUUCUUAGUUGGUGGAGCGAUUUGUCUGGUUAAUUCCGAUAACGAACGAGACUCUAGCCUGCUAAAUAGGCGUACUUCCGGUAUCUCAAAGSGCCGCUUCGCSGGUUUSGCCGCCGCCGUCGCGCGUGUGGUUUUUACUACCGGCGUACAAAUAAUUCUUCUUAGAGGGACAGGCGGUUUCUAACCGCACGAGAUUGAGCAAUAACAGGUCUGUGAUGCCCUUAGAUGUCCUGGGCCGCACGCGCGCCACACUGAAGGAAUCAACGUGUCUUCCCUGGCCGAAAGGUCCGGGUAACCCGCUGAACCUCCUUCGUGCUAGGGAUUGGGGCUUGCAAUUGUUCCCCAUGAACGAGGAAUUCCCAGUAAGCGCGAGUCAUAAACUCGCGUUGACUAAGUCCCUGCCCUUUGUACACACCGCCCGUCGCUACUACCGAUUGAAUGAUUUAGUGAGGUCUUCGGACCG
This 565-nucleotide ribosomal RNA is filed under the name Boreus brumalis. Its description in RNAcentral is "bacterial SSU rRNA". It matches the Rfam family "Eukaryotic small subunit ribosomal RNA", at positions 1200 to 1737 of the family's 1831-position model. Lineage: Eukaryota; Metazoa; Arthropoda; Insecta; Mecoptera; Boreidae. The record is from RNAcentral.